CCAAUAGCGUAUAUUAAAGUUGUUGCAGUUAAAAAGCUCGUAGUUGAAUUUCAGGCCUGGCUGGACGGUCCGCCCUUCGGGUGAGUACUGUCUGUGGUCGGGUCCUACCUUCUGGCGAAGCGUCAUGGCCUUAACCGGCCGUGGCGGGGAACCAGGACUUUUACUGUGAAAAAAUUAGAGGGUUCAAAGCAGGCAAUCGCUUGGAUACAUUAGCAUGGAAUAAUGGAAUAGGACAAUGGUUCUAUUUGUUGGUUUCUAGGACCGUUGUAAUGAUUAAUAGGGAUAGUUGGGGGCAUUAGUAUUCAAUUGUCAGAGGUGAAAUUCUUGGAUUUAUUGAAGACUAACUACUGCGAAAGCAUUUGCCAAGGAUGUUUUCAUUAAUCAAGAACGAAAGUUAGGGGAUCGAAGACGAUCAGAUACCGUCGUAGUCUUAACCAUAAACUAUGCCGACUAGGAAUCGGGCGAUGUUGAAAAAAUGACGCGCUCGGCACCUCAUG
Molecule: unclassified non-coding RNA, 497 nt
Filed under: uncultured Paraglomus
Lineage: Eukaryota; Fungi; Glomeromycota; Glomeromycetes; Paraglomerales; Paraglomeraceae
Description: SSU rRNA
Rfam family: Eukaryotic small subunit ribosomal RNA
Source: RNAcentral